RNAcentral lists this small RNA (132 nucleotides) under Klebsiella pneumoniae. RNAcentral describes it as "partial RtT sRNA". It matches the Rfam family "RtT RNA", at positions 34 to 130 of the family's 130-position model. From Rfam's summary of the family: This family represents a bacterial cis-regulatory element known as RtT RNA. The exact function of RtT is unknown although it is thought that it may be involved in changing the cellular response in relation to amino acid starvation. Lineage: Bacteria; Pseudomonadati; Pseudomonadota; Gammaproteobacteria; Enterobacterales; Enterobacteriaceae. The record is from RNAcentral.
GGUCGCAGGUUCGAAUCCUGCACGACCCACCAAUUUCAGCAUUUAACUCAGAUGCUGAACGUGAAGGAUAACGUUGCGUCAGCAACGGCCCGAAGGGCGAGGCGAAGUCGAGUCAUCCUGCACGACCCACCA